UACGGGGGGGGCAAGCGUUGUUCGGAAUUACUGGGCGUAAAGGGUUCGUAGGUGGCUUGCUCAGUCAGACGUGAAAUCCCUCAGCUUAACUGGGGAACUGCGUCUGAUACUGGCGAGCUUGAGUGCAGGAGAGGAACGCGGAAUUCCAGGUGUAGCGGUGAAAUGCGCAGAUAUCAGGAGGAACACCGGUGGCGAAGGCGGUUCUCUGGGCAUUACCUGACGCUGAGGAGCGAAAGUGUGGGGAGCGAACAGG
Molecule: ribosomal RNA, 253 nt
Filed under: uncultured bacterium
Lineage: Bacteria
Description: partial 16S ribosomal RNA
Rfam family: Bacterial small subunit ribosomal RNA
Source: RNAcentral